AGCCUUUAUUUUUAAAGGUAAGUUCUGCCAAUUCAAAAGAAAAGGCCGUUUUUACGCUAAGGUAGCGUAAUCAAAAGUUUAUUGAUUGUAAACCUGUAUGAAAGAGUAAACUCUAUUUUUCUUUCUUACAAUAGCAUAUUUAAUUUAAGGAGAUAAAAAAAUAAUCUUUAUGGUGUAAGACGAGAAGACCCUAAAAGCUGACCAUUAAUGGUUUUUUGGGGAAAAUAAUUGACUUUAUAAUCAGAAUUCAUAUAGAAACAUAUUUAGUAAUAAGCUACUUUAGGGGUAACAGAGCAAUUAUAAUUAAGAGAUCUUAUCUAAAUUGUAGUUUGCGACCUCCAUGUUGGAUUCUCUAUUCUGUUGGUUGCAAAAGGUAAAUAAGAAAGACUGUUCGUCUUUUAAAUAGAG
Molecule: ribosomal RNA, 408 nt
Filed under: Paracalacarus podocarpi
Lineage: Eukaryota; Metazoa; Arthropoda; Arachnida; Trombidiformes; Eriophyidae
Description: partial 16S ribosomal RNA
Rfam family: Bacterial large subunit ribosomal RNA (bases 175-408)
Source: RNAcentral